CUCUUCCUUCUCGAUUGACUGCCGCUCUCCUAUCUCUCUCUCCUGCUCUCUUUCCGAUUUCUUUCUCUGGCGUCGAUUUCCUGCUGGGUCGUGGACGGUUCCAAGCAAAUACAAAUGGAGGCUUUUUUCUCUUUCCGGUUUGGAUCUCUCACUUCCCUUCCGCUUUGGUCGAGAGAAGCUUAGAACUUUUUUUUUUUUUUUUCCGCACUCCUCCCCUCUCCUCCACAGUCCACACCUAUAUCCUUGCUCAGUCAUGGACGUUUCCUUUUCUUCCAGACAUUGGAUUUUUGGCUUGAAGAUUACAAAACAUGCUGGCGGUUAUUAUGUGACGCAGAGGUCCUCAAGAAGUGAUUUGCUCGGUGUCACUGCUAAGUAGUAGGUAUGCAUCAUUAGUGCAUGUAAUUACGAUCCACUUGAUCUUGUAUUUUUGCUUCUGCAAUGCUGCUUAUCGCAAUGACUUCUAUGGCUCUGCAGGGCUUAUCAUUUAAGAUGCUUUAUCUUAUUAAUUUAGCAUUUUCCAGCGUUUAGGCUGUCCGUCUAUGAAUUGCAAUUGCGCCUUUGUUCAUCAGUGGAAUAAGCAUGACUUCUUAUUGUUUUAUGUUAUUAUGGACUCUU
Molecule: long non-coding RNA, 615 nt
Organism: Morus notabilis
Lineage: Eukaryota; Viridiplantae; Streptophyta; Magnoliopsida; Rosales; Moraceae
Exons: 3
Source: RefSeq, a predicted model, not a curated record